This 765-nucleotide ribosomal RNA is filed under the name Triticum aestivum (bread wheat). RNAcentral's name for it is "partial small subunit ribosomal RNA". The record is from RNAcentral. Lineage: Eukaryota; Viridiplantae; Streptophyta; Magnoliopsida; Poales; Poaceae.
GUCAAGUGGCCUUUCCUUCAACAAGCGUUGCGUAUGAAAGGUUUUCAUCCGGCCUGGAGAAACCAGAUUGAUUCCUUUACGCAAAAAGGGAGUGUCGGGAUUAAGGUGAAUGAUGACGUGGGUCACUAUUUCCAAACACACAAGGGGCUGCGGCAAGGAGACCCUAUGUCACCGAUCCUGUUUAACAUAGUGGCUGAUAUGCUCACUAUUUUAAUAGGUCGGGCAAAGGAUGCAGGACAGGUAGGUGGCCUGGUUCCACAUCUAGUUGACGGCGGGUUGUCCAUUCUUCAGUAUGCUGAUGAUACAAUCAUUUUUAUGGAGCAUGACUUGGCGAAAGCAAGGAACAUGAAGCUGCUGUUAUGCUUAUUUAAACAAUUGUCUGGGCUUAAAAUCAACUUCCACAAGAGCGAAUUGUUUUGCUUUGGAAGAGCCAAUGAUGAACGGGAGUCGUAUCAACAAUUGUUCGGAUGUGAAUUGGGUUCUUUACCGUUUUCGUAUUUAGGUAUACCCAUUCAUCAUCGUAAGCUAUCUAAUAUUGAGUGGAAAUGUCUUGAGGAUCGGUUUGAAAAGAAACUGAGCUGUUGGAAAGGAAAGCUCAUGUCAUACAGAGGUCGAUUAAUUUUGAUUAAUUCGGUCCUCACUAGUAUGCCUAUGUUUCUCUUAUCCUUUUUCUUGGUUCCGGUCGGAGUUAGGAAAAGGUUAGAUUUCUAUCGAUCUAGAUUCUUUUGGCAAAUUGAUGAGCUUAAACGAAAGUAUAGACUUGCG